Long non-coding RNA from Salvia miltiorrhiza (redroot sage), 547 nucleotides. RefSeq lists it as uncharacterized. The record is from RefSeq and is a predicted model, not a curated record. The transcript has 2 exons. NCBI's taxonomy places the organism in Eukaryota, Viridiplantae, Streptophyta, Magnoliopsida, Lamiales, Lamiaceae.
AUAAAAAAACAAAAAUGAAAACGCGUUCACAUUAAAAACCAUCGAUUUUUACUGUCGAAGGGUGAAAACCGUAAAAUACAUACUCUCAGUAAAUCUGGAAGUUUCCAUGAUUUCCGACUUUCCCUCUGUCAAAUCUUCACGAUGAUUCAUGUGUAGAACAAGGUUGAAUCUCAGAUGACUCAUAUCUUCUCCACAAAGAAUCGCAACACUGUGAAGAAUACCCCUGCGGAAUCGAAGAAGAACUGGGUUUUGUUCAAUUUCUGGGCAAACGGAACUCGACAUCGAAGAAGCACACGUUCAUACUUCAUAGCUCCAAAUCUCUUCUGGUGAUUUUCAGCUCUGGCGCCCUUGGUGAUUUCCAGCUCUGGCGUCCUUGGUCAGCUCUGACUGCGUAGUAAUAUGAUAAUAUUCAGAUGUUAUAUCGUAUGUAUUCACAUGGAUGUCAACAUUAUUCAGAACUUAUUGUGUGAUAUUCAGUACUGAAUAAUAUUUAUUCAGAACUUAUUCGAUUAAUAAUAAAGUGGUAUUCGAUUAAUUUUCAAUAUUA